Molecule: ribosomal RNA, 404 nt
Filed under: Actinomycetes bacterium
Lineage: Bacteria; Bacillati; Actinomycetota; Actinomycetes
Description: Actinobacteria bacterium partial 16S ribosomal RNA
Rfam family: Bacterial small subunit ribosomal RNA
Source: RNAcentral
UGGGGAAUAUUGGACAAUGGGCGCAAGCCUGACCCAGCCAUGCCGCGUGAGUGAUGAAGGCCCUAGGGUUGUAAAGCUCUUUCACCGGUGAAGAUAAUGACGGUAACCGGAGAAGAAGCCCCGGCUAACUUCGUGCCAGCAGCCGCGGUAAUACGAAGGGGGCUAGCGUUGUUCGGAUUUACUGGGCGUAAAGCGCACGUAGGCGGACUUUUAAGUCAGGGGUGAAAUCCCGGGGCUCAACCCCGGAACUGCCUUUGAUACUGGAAGUCUUGAGUAUGGUAGAGGUGGGUGGAAUUCCGAGUGUAGAGGUGAAAUUCGUAGAUAUUCGGAGGAACACCAGUGGCGAAGGCGGCUCACUGGACCAUUACUGACGCUGAGGUGCGAAAGCGUGGGGAGCAAACAGG